This 721-nucleotide ribosomal RNA is filed under the name uncultured bacterium. RNAcentral's name for it is "bacterial SSU rRNA". It matches the Rfam family "Bacterial small subunit ribosomal RNA", at positions 129 to 865 of the family's 1533-position model. The record is from RNAcentral.
CCCCGGUCUCUGGAAUAACAGUCGGAAACGACUGCUAAUACCGGAUACCGUCGGAACGUCGCAUGGCGAUCCGACGAAAGGACAUCCGGAUCGGGAGGGUCUCGCGGCCUAUCAGCUAGUUGGUGAGGUAACGGCUCACCAAGGCAUCGACGGGUAGCUGGUCUGAGAGGAUGAUCAGCCACACUGGGACUGAGACACGGCCCAGACUCCUACGGGAGGCAGCAGUGGGGAAUCUUGCACAAUGGGCGAAAGCCUGAUGCAGCAACGCCGCGUGCGGGAUGAAGGCCCUAGGGUUGUAAACCGCUUUCAGCAGGAACGAAAAUGACGGUACCUGCAGAAGGAGGUGCGGCCAACUACGUGCCAGCAGCCGCGGUGACACGUAGGCACCAAGCGUUGUCCGGAUUUAUUGGGCGUAAAGAGCUCGUAGGCGGUUCGGUAAGUCGGGUGUGAAAACUCUGGGCUCAACCCAGAGCCGCCACCCGAUACUGCUGUGACUAGAGUGCGGUAGGGGAGCGGGGAAUUCCUGGUGUAGCGGUGAAAUGCGCAGAUAUCAGGAGGAACACCAGUGGCGAAGGCGCCGCUCUGGGCCGUAACUGACGCUGAGGAGCGAAAGCGUGGGUAGCAAACAGGAUUAGAUACCCUGGUAGUCCACGCCGUAAACGUUGGGCACUAGGUGUGGGUCUCAACCAACGAGAUCCGCGCCGUCGCUAACGCAUUAAGU